RNAcentral lists this long non-coding RNA (248 nucleotides) under Olea europaea (common olive). RNAcentral describes it as "long non-coding RNA (OEUR_LNC002887)". Lineage: Eukaryota; Viridiplantae; Streptophyta; Magnoliopsida; Lamiales; Oleaceae. The record is from RNAcentral.
GAGCAGAGAUCGAAAUAAUUAAAAUAAAUAAACAUAAAUGUUUUUUUUAUUUAUGUUUGGAUAUAAUACCCCAAAAAAAAAAUAAGUGUAUUUUUGUUAUUAUUCCUUUUUUAUUUUUCUUUGAAAAUUUAAUGUUAAUUCUUUGUUGAAUAUAAAUUUUUGCUCCAAUUUAGGCAAAAUUUGCAUUCAAUGGAUGUUGUUUUGUGAUAUAAUAGACGAUCUUUUCUUUCCAUGGAGAUGGAAUUGCG